This 1038-nucleotide long non-coding RNA is filed under the name Bemisia tabaci. RNAcentral describes it as "lncRNA ENSSSA2NGG000098". The record is from RNAcentral. Lineage: Eukaryota; Metazoa; Arthropoda; Insecta; Hemiptera; Aleyrodidae.
AUGCCGAACACAAGUGCAAAUGGAGAGACCGAUGGAGGAACAGCAUCCCAUGGGUCCACAAAAGCAAUAUCUGCCAAGAUAAAGCCGCUGGAAAUUGUCGCUGGAGCGAACAUGGCUGAACGCUGGGAGGUCUGGAAGGCUAAAUUCGAAAUAUUCAUGUGUGCAACAACGUGUGAUGGAGAAUCAGAUGCAAGAAGAAAUUGUCUGCUAUUACAAUUUCUUGGGGAUGAUGCAUAUAGCAUAUACGCAUCAUUCAAUAAGAAGUACAACGAACUCACACAUAAGCAACUCAUAGAAUUGUUUGAUGCACAUUUCAAGCCAGAAAAGAAUGUGGAAAUGGCUUUAUAUAAAUUAAUAACCAGAAAACAAAAAGAAGAUGAAACAUUGGAUGAGUUCGUCACAAGUUUGAAGAAUUUAAGCCUGGCCUGUAACCUAGACAAUCAAAGGGAUAAAAUUGUCAAAGCAAUUAUGAUUGCAAAUUUGCUUCCAAAGUUUGAAGAGGUGAGAAUCCAAAUAUUGAUGAAGCAGGAUGAAACAUUGGAGAAUGCCAUCAAAAUCAUCAAAACAUUCGAUGCAUCAAGGCGUCAGGUGCAGGAGAUGGAUGCAACUGAACCUGUGGUAGGCAAGAUCAGCAGACGUUAUCAAGAUGAUGCUCGGCAAAGUACAGAGCAGCGCAGUCAUCAAAGAACUAACAACAGUGCUAAGCAGUAUGCGAGUGGUCCAAAGCACAAGGGACAAUCAAGUCGGCGGUACGGUUCUUCUAAGGUGCAAGCCGAUGACUCGAGAAGAACGGGAAACUACAGUAGGUGCAAAAACUGUGGAAAUACCAAACAUUAUUCUGGAAGGUGCCCUGCCAUUGGGAGAAAAUGUGACAAUUGCAAUGGGUCAAAUCACUUCUCAAGAGUGUGCAAGUAUGCUGAGCGAAAAGUGAGACUGGUGGAUGAGGAGUCGACUGAUAGCAACGAUUACUAUUCGGAAGAUGAUGGUCCUGAGCUAUUCAUUGGUGCGAUCGAAUCCAAGCAGGAGGACGAUCAGUGA